This is a non-coding RNA of Triticum aestivum (bread wheat), 202 nucleotides long. The record is from Rfam. NCBI's taxonomy places the organism in Eukaryota, Viridiplantae, Streptophyta, Magnoliopsida, Poales, Poaceae.
AUCAUUUGUCCUAAGUCAAAGUUUUAUAAUUUUGACUAACUUUUUAGAAAAAAGUAGUGGUAUAUUUGACAUCAAAUUGGUAUAUUAUAUGGAAAUACAUUUCAAACCGAAUCUAGUGGUACUAAUUUAGUGCCAUAAAUGCUGCUACCUUUUUCUAAAAAUUUGGUCAAAGUUUUAAAAGUUUGACUUAGGACAAAAACUA